RNAcentral lists this transfer RNA (74 nucleotides) under Patescibacteria group bacterium. Its description in RNAcentral is "tRNA-Gln". It matches the Rfam family "tRNA". From Rfam's summary of the family: Transfer RNA (tRNA) molecules are approximately 80 nucleotides in length. Their secondary structure includes four short double-helical elements and three loops (D, anti-codon, and T loops). The record is from RNAcentral.
UCCGAGAUCGUCUAACGGUAGGACGCUUGGUUCUGGCCCAAGUAAUCGUGGUUCAAAUCCAUGUCUCGGAGCCA